GACACGCUGGCGGCGUGCCUAACACAUGCAAGUCGAACGGUCCGGCACUCAACCGACCCUCAGUCUAGCUGUAGGUGAGGUUAAGUGCCGGAUAGUGGCGGACGGGUGAGUAACGCGUGGGCAACCAACCCUGUACAGUGGGAUAACACCGGGAAACCGGUGCUAAUACCGCAUGACACCUAGAUGGUGCAUACUGUUUAGGUUAAAGGGCAAAACCGGUACGGGACGGGCCCGCGUCCCAUUAGCUGGUUGGUGAGGUAACGGCUCACCAAGGCGACGAUGGGUAGCCGACCUGAGAGGGUGACCGGCCACACUGGGACUGAGACACGGCCCAGACUCCUACGAGAGGCAGCAGUGGGGAAUAUUGCGCAAUGGACGGAAGUCUGACGCAGCGACGCCGCGUGAGCGACGAAGGCCUUCGGGUCGUAAAGCUCUGUUCUUGGGGACGAAGGAAAUGACGGUACCCAAGGAGAAAGCCCCGGCUAACUACGUG
Molecule: ribosomal RNA, 493 nt
Filed under: uncultured bacterium
Lineage: Bacteria
Description: bacterial SSU rRNA
Rfam family: Bacterial small subunit ribosomal RNA
Source: RNAcentral